RNAcentral lists this ribosomal RNA (484 nucleotides) under Campylobacter jejuni. RNAcentral's name for it is "bacterial SSU rRNA". It matches the Rfam family "Bacterial small subunit ribosomal RNA", at positions 1 to 476 of the family's 1533-position model. Lineage: Bacteria; Pseudomonadati; Campylobacterota; Epsilonproteobacteria; Campylobacterales; Campylobacteraceae. The record is from RNAcentral.
AAAUUGAAGAGUUUGAUCAUGGCUCAGAUUGAACGCUGGCGGCAGGCCUAACACAUGCAAGUCGAGCGGUAGCACAGAGAGCUUGCUCUCGGGUGACGAGCGGCGGACGGGUGAGUAAUGUCUGGGAAACUGCCUGAUGGAGGGGGAUAACUACUGGAAACGGUAGCUAAUACCGCAUAACGUCGCAAGACCAAAGUGGGGGACCUUCGGGCCUCAUGCCAUCAGAUGUGCCCAGAUGGGAUUAGCUAGUAGGUGGGGUAAUGGCUCACCUAGGCGACGAUCCCUAGCUGGUCUGAGAGGAUGACCAGCCACACUGGAACUGAGACACGGUCCAGACUCCUACGGGAGGCAGCAGUGGGGAAUAUUGCACAAUGGGCGCAAGCCUGAUGCAGCCAUGCCGCGUGUAUGAAGAAGGCCUUCGGGUUGUAAAGUACUUUCAGCGAGGAGGAAGGCAUUAAGGUUAAUAACCUUAGUGAUUGACGUU